UGAAUACGAGACGCUAAGGCGUCGAAGUAGUGUAUGUCAUACUUCCAAGAAAAGCUUGCACUGUCAUAGAUAAAAAACGCCUGUACCAUAACCGACACAGGUGGGUAGGUAGAGUAUACUAAGGGGCGCGAGAUAACUCUCUCUAAGGAACUCGGCAAAAUAACUCCGUAACUUCGGGAGAAGGAGUGCCUUAUUCGUAAGGUUGCAAUAACAAGAUCCAAGCAACUGUUUAUCAAAAACACAGGUCUCCGCUAAGUCGUAAGACGAUGUAUGGGGGCUUACGCCUGCCCAGUGCCAGAAGGUUAAAGAAGUUGGUUAGCAAUUGCGAAGCUGACAACUGAAGCCCUGGUGAACGGCGGCCGUAACAAUAACGGUCCUAAGGUAGCGAAAUUCCUUGUCGGGUAAGUUCCGACCCGCACGAAAGGCGUAAUGAUUUGGAUACUGUCUCGGAGAGGGGCUCGGUGAAAUAGACUUGUCUGUGAAGAUGCGGACUACCUGCACCAGGACAGAAAGACCCUAUGAAGCUUUACUGUAACUUGAAAUUGAAAUUGGACUUUAUUCGCGCAGUAUAGGUGGGAGGCGUUGAUUAUAAUCUUGUGGGAUUAUUGGAGCCAUCAGUGAGAUACCACUCUUGUAAUGUUAGAUUUCUAACUUUGAAUCAUUAUCUGGUCAAAGAACAGUUUCAGGCGGGCAGUUUGACUGGGGCGGUCGCCUCCUAAACGGUAACGGAGGCGUACAAAGGUUUCCUCUGAACGGUUAGAAAUCGUAUCUAGAGUGUAAAGGCAUAAGGAAGCUUGACUGUGAGACCUACAAGUCGAGCAGGGACGAAAGUCGGUCUUAGUGAUCUGACGGUACUGAGUGGAAAGGCCGUCACUCAACGGAUAAAAGUUACUCUAGGAUAACAGGCUGAUCUCCCCCAAGAGUUCACAUCGACGGGGAGGUUUGGCACCUCGAUGUCGGCUCAUCGCAUCCUGGGGCGGUAGUACGUCCCAAGGGUUGGGCUGUUCGCCCAUGAAAGCGGUACGCGAGCUGGGUUCAGAACGUCGUGAGACAGUUCGGUCCAUAUCCGGUGUAGGCGUUAGAAUAUUGAGAGGAGCCUUCUUUAGUACGAGAGGACCGAGAAGGACAUACCUCUGGUGUACCAGUUAUCGUGCCAACGGUAAACGCUGGGUAGCUAUGUAUGGAGUGGAUAACCGCUGAAAGUAUCUAAGUGGGAAGCCCACCUCAAGAUAAGUAUUCUCAU
This 1243-nucleotide ribosomal RNA is filed under the name metagenome. RNAcentral's name for it is "bacterial LSU rRNA". It matches the Rfam family "Bacterial large subunit ribosomal RNA", at positions 1564 to 2817 of the family's 2925-position model. The record is from RNAcentral.